This 491-nucleotide ribosomal RNA is filed under the name uncultured bacterium. Its description in RNAcentral is "bacterial SSU rRNA". It matches the Rfam family "Bacterial small subunit ribosomal RNA", at positions 1 to 518 of the family's 1533-position model. The record is from RNAcentral.
GAAUUGAUCUGGUCAGGACGAACGCUGGCGGCGUGCCUAACACAUGCAAGUCGAGCGAGGAGAUCCUCGGGAUGAUCCUAGCGGCGGACGGGUGAGUAACACGUGGGCAACCUGCCUCAUAGAGAGGAAUAGCCUUCCGAAAGGGAGAUUAAUACCUCAUAACAUUGCAGUUUCGCAUGGAACAGCAAUUAAAGGAGUAAUCCGCUAUGAGAUGGGCCCGCGGCGCAUUAGCUAGUUGGUGAGGUAACGGCUCACCAAGGCGACGAUGCGUAGCCGACCUGAGAGGGUGAUCGGCCACAUUGGGACUGAGACACGGCCCAGACGUCCUACGGGAGGCAGCAGUGGGGAAUAUUGCACAAUGGGGGGAAACCCUGAUGGCCAGCAACGCCGCGUGAGUGAUGACGGCCUUCGGGUUGUAAAGCUCUGUCUUCAGGGACGAUAAUGACGGUACCUGAGGAGGAAGCCACGGCUAACUACGUGCCAGCCGCGGC